Molecule: ribosomal RNA, 849 nt
Filed under: uncultured bacterium
Lineage: Bacteria
Description: bacterial SSU rRNA
Rfam family: Bacterial small subunit ribosomal RNA
Source: RNAcentral
UAGAGUUUGAUCCUGGCUCAGAUUGAACGCUGGCGGCAGGCUUAACACAUGCAAGUCGAGCGGAGAUGAGGUGCUUGCACCUUAUCUUAGCGGCGGACGGGUGAGUAAUGCUUAGGAAUCUGCCUAUUAGUGGGGGACAACAUUCCGAAAGGAAUGCUAAGUACCGCAUACGUCCUACGGGAGAAAGCAGGGGAUCUUCGGACCUUGCGCUAAUAGAUGAGCCUAAGUCGGAUUAGCUAGUUGGUGGGGUAAAGGCCUACCAAGGCGACGAUCUGUAGCGGGUCUGAGAGGAUGAUCCGCCACACUGGGACUGAGACACGGCCCAGACUCCUACGGGAGGCAGCAGUGGGGAAUAUUGGACAAUGGGGGGAACCCUGAUCCAGCCAUGCCGCGUGUGUGAAGAAGGCCUUAUGGUUGUAAAGCACUUUAAGCGAGGAGGAGGCUACUGAGACUAAUACUCUUGGAUAGUGGACGUUACUCGCAGAAUAAGCACCGGCUAACUCUGUGCCAGCAGCCGCGGUAAUACAGAGGGUGCGAGCGUUAAUCGGAUUUACUGGGCGUAAAGCGUGCGUAGGCGGCUUUUUAAGUCGGAUGUGAAAUCCCCGAGCUUAACUUGGGAAUUGCAUUCGAUACUGGGAAGCUAGAGUAUGGGAGAGGAUGGUAGAAUUCCAGGUGUAGCGGUGAAAUGCGUAGAGAUCUGGAGGAAUACCGAUGGCGAAGGCAGCCAUCUGGCCUAAUACUGACCGCUGAGGUACGAAAGCCUGGGGAGCANACAGGAUUAGAUACCCUGGUAGUUCCAUGCCGUAAACGAUGUCUACUAGCCCGUUGGGGCCUUUGAAGCUUUANUGG